RNAcentral lists this ribosomal RNA (566 nucleotides) under Annulohypoxylon stygium. RNAcentral describes it as "eukaryotic LSU rRNA". It matches the Rfam family "Eukaryotic large subunit ribosomal RNA", at positions 1 to 549 of the family's 3401-position model. Lineage: Eukaryota; Fungi; Ascomycota; Sordariomycetes; Xylariales; Hypoxylaceae. The record is from RNAcentral.
GUAAAACCCCCUAUAACUUAUAGUGGUUGACCUCGGAUUAGGUAGGAAUACCCGCUGAACUUAAGCAUAUCAAUAAGCGGAGGAAAAGAAACCAACAGGGAUUGCCCUAGUAACGGCGAGUGAAGCGGCAAAAGCUCAAAUUUGAAAUCUGGCCCUAGCGGUCCGAGUUGUAAUUUGCAGAGGAUGCUUUUGGUGCGGUGCCUUCCGAGUUCCCUGGAACGGGACGCCAUAGAGGGUGAGAGCCCCGUACGGUUGGAUACCUAGCCUCUAUAUAGCUCCUUCGACGAGUCGAGUAGUUUGGGAAUGCUGCUCUAAAUGGGAGGUAAAUUUCUUCUAAAGCUAAAUACCGGCCAGAGACCGAUAGCGCACAAGUAGAGUGAUCGAAAGAUGAAAAGCACUUUGAAAAGAGGGUUAAAUAGCACGUGAAAUUGUUGAAAGGGAAGCGUUUGCGACCAGACCUUCUCCAGGGGGAUCAACCGCUGUUCUCAGCGGUGCACUCCCCCUGGUUUAGGCCAGCAUCGGUUCUCUUAGGGGGAUAAAGGCCUGGGGAACGUAGCUCUUUAGGG